CUGGUUGAUCCUGCCAGUAGUCAUAUGCUUGUCUCAAAGCUUAAGCCAUGCAAGUCUCAGUACGAGCUGACUUAAAGUGAAACCGCAAAAGGCUCAGUAAACCGGUCAUAGUUUA
RNAcentral lists this ribosomal RNA (115 nucleotides) under Hyalymenus pulcher. RNAcentral's name for it is "partial small subunit ribosomal RNA". It matches the Rfam family "Eukaryotic small subunit ribosomal RNA", at positions 4 to 119 of the family's 1831-position model. The record is from RNAcentral. Lineage: Eukaryota; Metazoa; Arthropoda; Insecta; Hemiptera; Alydidae.